Molecule: ribosomal RNA, 515 nt
Filed under: uncultured Chloroflexota bacterium
Lineage: Bacteria; Bacillati; Chloroflexota
Description: bacterial SSU rRNA
Rfam family: Bacterial small subunit ribosomal RNA
Source: RNAcentral
GGGCAAUGGGCGAAAGCCUGACCCAGCAACGCCGCGUGUGUGAUGAAGGCCUUCGGGUCGUAAAGCACUUUUCUGGGAGAUGAGAAAGGACAGUAUCCCAGGAAUAAGUCUCGGCUAACUACGUGCCAGCAGCCGCGGUAAAACGUAGGAGGCGAGCGUUAUCCGGAUUCACUGGGCGUAAAGCGCGUGCAGGUGGCGCGGUAAGUUGGGCGUGAAAUCUCCCGGCUCAACUGGGAGAGGUCGUCCAAUACUACCGUGCUUGGGAGCAGAAGAGGAAGAUGGAAUUCCCGGUGUAGUGGUGAAAUGCGUAGAUAUCGGGAGGAACACCAGUGGCGAAGGCGAUCUUCUGGUCUGUUUCUGACACUCAGACGCGACAGCUAGGGUAGUAAACGGGAUUAGAGACCCCGGUAAUCCUAGCCGUAAACGAUGUGAACUUGGCGUUGGUGGGUUAAACUCCAUCAGUGCCGUAGCAAACGCGAUAAGUUCACCGCCUGGGGACUACGGCCGCAAGGUUA